This 446-nucleotide ribosomal RNA is filed under the name uncultured Porphyrobacter sp. Its description in RNAcentral is "bacterial SSU rRNA". It matches the Rfam family "Bacterial small subunit ribosomal RNA", at positions 936 to 1382 of the family's 1533-position model. The record is from RNAcentral. Lineage: Bacteria; Pseudomonadati; Pseudomonadota; Alphaproteobacteria; Sphingomonadales; Erythrobacteraceae.
AGCAUGUGGUUUAAUUCGAAGCAACGCGCAGAACCUUACCAGCCUUUGACAUCCUAGGACGACUUCUGGAGACAGAUUUCUUCCCUUCGGGGACCUAGUGACAGGUGCUGUAUGGCUGUCGUCAGCUCGUGUCGUGAGAUGUUGGGUUAAGUCCCGCAACGAGCGCAACCCUCGUCCUUAGUUGCCAUCAUUAAGUUGGGCACUUUAAGGAAACUGCCGGUGAUAAGCCGGAGGAAGGUGGGGAUGACGUCAAGUCCUCAUGGCCCUUACAGGCUGGGCUACACACGUGCUACAAUGGCAUCUACAGUGGGCAGCUAUUCCGCAAGGAUGCGCUAAUCUCCAAAAGAUGUCUCAGUUCGGAUUGUCCUCUGCAACUCGAGGGCAUGAAGGCGGAAUCGCUAGUAAUCGCGGAUCAGCAUGCCGCGGUGAAUACGUUCCCAGGCCUU